RNAcentral lists this ribosomal RNA (316 nucleotides) under uncultured microorganism. Its description in RNAcentral is "bacterial SSU rRNA". It matches the Rfam family "Bacterial small subunit ribosomal RNA", at positions 9 to 317 of the family's 1533-position model. The record is from RNAcentral.
GAGUUUGAUCGUGGCUCAGGAUGAACGCUAGCGGCAGGCUUAAUACAUGCAAGUCGAGGGGCAUCAGCUUAUAGCAAUAUAGGGCUGGCGACCGGCAAACGGGUGCGGGACACGUACACAACCUCCCUUUAAGAGGGGGAUAGCCCAUAGAAAUGUGGAUUAAUACCCCGUAAGAUAGUGGGAUGGCAUCAUACUACUAUUAUAGUUACGACGCUUGAAGAUGGGUGUGCGUCUGAUUAGGUAGUUGGCGGGUAAAGGGACCCGACCAACGCCUUCGAUCAGUAGCUGAUGUGAGAGCAUGAUCAGCCACACGGGC